RNAcentral lists this long non-coding RNA (664 nucleotides) under Numida meleagris (helmeted guineafowl). Its description in RNAcentral is "lncRNA (ENSNMEG00000013359.1)". Lineage: Eukaryota; Metazoa; Chordata; Aves; Galliformes; Numididae. The record is from RNAcentral.
CAUCAAAACUGUAAGAAUUAUUUCUAAUAUAUACUGGGCCACAACCUCAUCUUUUCCUUUCAUAUUAAUGGACCUACAAAACAGACUCAACCGGUUCGAACAGCCAGGCUUUGAUUCCCUUUACAUGCAGGUUCCCUCAGGUUACAGAGCUGGCAUAUCUUGUUCUGCAUCACAUCUGCUCUGCAGUGCCUGACUAUCAGAGAGCCCUUGUUCUGGCUGCCAGAUUAGUCCCUUUGGGUUAGCUGCUGCAGGAAACAAAGUAGAAUUUUAAGUUAUGAAAAGGCAUGCUUUGGCUCCACUAGUUGAGAAGUUGUAAGGAUGGUUGACAGCUGACAUAUUCUACCUCCCUCGUGUUGAUCUCUCUUGCAGUACUCAAGAUGGAAACGAACCCCAGAAGACUACAAACUCCUUCCUUGUCAUGGGAAUCCAUGGAACCACCACCAACCUGGAACUCUGGAACCAGAGACAAAACAUUCAGGUAUGGAAGAAAUCUGACCAGAUUAAUUCAAGUGUGUUCCUGCUUAGUCACUGAAGCAAAGUUACCGAGGCCAUCAACUAUCCAAGGUGGGUGCACUAUUGAUGCUCAGCCUGCUGAUUUCCCUCAGACUGGCUAAAAAAGCAUGCCAGGAAUGCAGCUCCUGAAAUGGUAGAGAGAAUUAGUUAA